UUAAUUUUGUUGUGGAGGUUGAGAGUAGGAACUCGGAGUGGCUUAACAUUGUCAUGGCAGAUGCAGAGAACUCGAAAUGGCAUCCCGAGCUUGUAGUGUCAAGGAAAUGCUAUGAAAAUUACAUCACCGAUUUGGGUUUGAAACCGCGCUUGAAUACACGUUGAAGCUAAUAGAUUGUCUGAUAGUUUUUCCGUCGCUGGAAAUGCAAAUGCAGCUCCUCCAUUACGACAUCAGAUAUGUGCAUUGCUUUGUUAUAGUGGACAAGAAGGGGAUGGCACCGGCAAAGACGGGGAUUCCGAGCAGUCGACUGCACGUAAUAGCAGGCCUCUCUCAUCUUCUCAACGUGAAGCUUCCUCACAAAACUAUAGCUGGAGUUCAGAGCACAAAUGCUGUUCCAUGUUUUUGUGAUUAUUUUGUUUUUUCUCAUGUUACUGAGUGUCUGUAUUGGCAGAAAGUUGAUUAGAUUCUAGAUGCCUUGAUUGCUCAUAUGGU
RNAcentral lists this small RNA (492 nucleotides) under Malus domestica (apple). Its description in RNAcentral is "sRNA MD08G0051400". Lineage: Eukaryota; Viridiplantae; Streptophyta; Magnoliopsida; Rosales; Rosaceae. The record is from RNAcentral.